UUCCAGAAUGUUCCAGAAAGCGUAGGAUGC
This 30-nucleotide non-coding RNA is filed under the name Rattus norvegicus (Norway rat). Lineage: Eukaryota; Metazoa; Chordata; Mammalia; Rodentia; Muridae. The record is from RNAcentral.